UAGGGAAUAUUGCACAAUGGGCGCAAGCCUGAUGCAGCAACGCCGCGUGGAUGAUGAAGGCCUUCGGGUUGUAAAAUCCUUUUCUGGGGAAAGAUAAUGACGGUACCCCAGGAAUAAGUUCCGGCUAACUACGUGCCAGCAGCCGCGGUAAAACGUAGGGGACGAGCGUUAUCCGGAUUUACUGGGCGUAAAGCGCAUGUAGGUGGCUUGAAAAGUUGGACGUGAAAGCUCCUGGCUUAACUGGGAGAGGUCGUACAAAACUAGCAAGCUUGAGGUUGGAAGAGGAGAGCAGAAUUCCCGGUGUAGUGGUGGAAUGCGUAGAUAUCGGGAGGAAUACCAGUGGCGAAAGCGGCUCUCUGGUUCAAUACUGACACUGAGAUGCGAAAGCGUGGGGAGCGAACGGGAUUAGAUACCCAAGUAGUCCCUGAGCGGGCUGGCAAGGCGCAU
Molecule: ribosomal RNA, 447 nt
Filed under: uncultured bacterium
Lineage: Bacteria
Description: bacterial SSU rRNA
Rfam family: Bacterial small subunit ribosomal RNA
Source: RNAcentral